RNAcentral lists this long non-coding RNA (512 nucleotides) under Cairina moschata (Muscovy duck). RNAcentral describes it as "domestica (muscovy Duck (domestic type)) lncRNA (ENSCMMG00000008029.1)". The record is from RNAcentral. Lineage: Eukaryota; Metazoa; Chordata; Aves; Anseriformes; Anatidae.
GCCAGAUGUUAAAGGGCCAGCAAGGGACAGGCAGUGAACACCUUGACUACCUUGCCAGUCGUGCUUACCCCGUGCCACAUCCCUCCCCUGAGGCACCUUGGCCCCAUCUCACCUUAGGCUUGGCUGCCUCUGGAGCAGGAGGAGCCGUUGGUAGGACCUGCCAAGGAGGGAAUGAUGACGGCUCUCCCCGACACAAUGUCUUUACCUCUGCGUGUCCAGUGAGAGGCUGUGGGACCACAGACACUUGUUCACAAGUGAGGGCAACAGACAGAUGGACUUUUAACAAAGGGAUGCUGGAUGAGAAUCAUCAGUGGAAUCACAACCAAAUUGUCGACUUACCCAGGUACACUGCUUCACAAAACUCAAACAGAAGCUUCUUUGUGAAGAGGACUGUAAAGGCUGUGUCAAGGUUAACAGCAACACUUUAUCUAUCACAUCACCUCCUCCCAAAGAAGUCUCCAACCCCAAGUGGACAGGAGACACUGCUCUGUCACACAUGGCUUAUUCAAUAG